GGUCAGUCACUACAGCAAGGCCGUCCAAGUGAACAAGUCGUSCCUAGUUUAUUCAGUUUAACUUCACAAUGAAUUCUAAGUAUGUAAUUGUAGUUUUGGCUGUUUUGAUGGCUUUUUCCAUGAUUCAAGAAUCAAGAGCAUUUACGGCUGGAGGUGGUGGGACCGUUCCAGGAAAAAGGGAAUUUAUGACGUUAAAAAGAGCCGUUGGAGAUCUUUGCCGGGUGGCUCGUACUCAUUGCAAGAGGGAACUGUACAUCGCUAAGGAUAUGGAUUAACGGCAAUGYAAAGUGGGCUAAAUAUUUAAUCUAAAAUGACAACAAAAUUYYCAAUCUACCGAUUGUUAGUGUUCAACACGCUAUACAAGGACAAACAAGGAAACAAAGCAAAGAUCAAAUACUACAAAAACUUAAUUUAGCUUCAAUUCCAAGAUAAAAAAACAUUUUCCCGUCAAAUGUAAAUUGUCUAAUAAACUGAUUUUCAAAGGUA
Exaiptasia diaphana is the source of this 486-nucleotide long non-coding RNA. RefSeq lists it as uncharacterized. The record is from RefSeq and is a predicted model, not a curated record. The transcript has 2 exons. Lineage: Eukaryota; Metazoa; Cnidaria; Anthozoa; Actiniaria; Aiptasiidae.